Molecule: long non-coding RNA, 661 nt
Organism: Salvelinus namaycush (lake trout)
Lineage: Eukaryota; Metazoa; Chordata; Actinopteri; Salmoniformes; Salmonidae
Exons: 3
Source: RefSeq, a predicted model, not a curated record
AGAAGGAGAAAGAGAAGGAGAAAGAGAAGGAGAAGGAGGAGGAGAAGGAGAAGGAGAAGGAGAAAGAGAAGGAGAAGGAUACGGUGAAAGAGAUGGAGAUAGACACCAGCGCUAGUGAACAAAUAAAUGUUAAAGUCGAGAGCUUGGAAGGAUCUGACCCAACUGAAACCGACAGCACUCCGUCCAAAGAUCCUGUAGAUAAGAAGGAAUGAACAGCAGGAGGAGGGACAAUCAACCAGCCAACUGUGAAGAAAGAAAGGGCCACCACAUCAGUACCUGUGCCCGUAUGCCCUCUUAAACCGGGGGACCGGAGGCACAAGAACGAGUCAUUCACCAUGACAUAACUCAUUCCCCUAUUUUACAUUACUUUUUAAUUACUUUUUGAAUCUUUAUUAUAAUGAAAUGAUGUCAUCUGUCAUCAAUGAAAUUCAUAAUCAAUCAAUCUUUAUUACAGAAUCGGUCAUUCAUUAAAUGAUUCAUCGAUCAAAUUUGAAUAUGGAUGUAAAAAAAGAAACAUGAUAGAGGACUGUAACAUAUCAAACUGAUGCGAUACCUGGCAGUCUGUUAGAUCUAACUACUACUACUACUACUACUACUACUACUCCUACUGCUCCUGCUACUACUACUACAACUCCCACUACCACUCCUGCUACUACUCCUA